CUCCACUGGGCAAACCAGCCUUCCAUCUUCGACCCAUCUAUCGAAGCGCAGCUCAGUGUAAAUAUUUCGUCUAACAUUUUACUUUUCCGAAUGGGCGGUUAUUAGGAUGCAUAAGAUUCUGUAUUUACGAUAGCAUAGCUUCACAAGGUGCAAUAGAGACCCAGUCAUUUUGUUCCCCAGUCUUCCCGCUCUUUCAUUCCAACCCUAACAACCUUUCUUUGUGUAACCAGCCCUCAUAUCGGUUUCUUCCGCUAGGACGUUUUUCUUUAUGACAUGAUUAGUAAUCAAUGUAUAAUCCAUCCUGUGUAAAUGUAAUUCUGUGUGAUUAUUUUGGUAUUAUUCUGUGUUCCCCUGACUUCCUAGUUAAUUAAAUUGACAUGAUUAGUUUAAUCAGGUAAUAAUAAUUACAGAGAAUUGAUUUGAUAAAAUAGCAUUUAAUCCAUAGCCAGAGACACGACAACAGAUAUCUACUAAGUGUGCAUGGAGUACUGUUGACUACUCCAUGUGAAAAAUGAACAGUUUGUGAACACUCAGAUGUAACACCUUAUCUUGGAACCAACGUUUAUUAUGGGUACUUAAUAACUCAUGUGUGGUGGACACAUCUUACUUUAUCCUAAUAUUGUCAACCAUAUUAUUUCCUAUAUUGCAUUGUGAAAGUGUGAAAUGUAUACUGUAUAUUGUCUGUACCUGCAGUGUCGCAACACACCUUACUGUAUCGUCCAGAAGAACAUGUCAUGGGUGAAAAUCAUCACUCCCCAAUCAGUCAACAAUCAAUCAUCAAUCAGAAGACACACCUCCUCAUAUUUCCUGACCUAUCACAGUUCCUUCCCCAUGGUUUAAAACCCCAUUUGUUUGUUCUACAGCUCAGCUCAGCUCAAUCUCUCUGUAAAUGCCAUGUCUGUAGGUCUCUGUGUUUCACUCUCGCUUUGUGUCGUAACCUCUCUUUGUUUAAGCACCUCAUAGCACUUUGUCAUCACCUGUGAGUAUUGUUUUUGGUUAUGGUGUUUGUGUUUGAUUGCUGGUGGAAAAGGGGGAAACCAAGACAAGUCGCCCAUGGGCAUACACUACCCGUAGGUGAACUUUGUUAAAUACACUAGUUAGAACUGGGCGGACCACCCACUGUAUUUUUGGUUAGUUAGUUAGCUGUUGUUAAAGUAGGCUAGUCUAGCUUAGGGGUGUUUUUUGAAUACUUAUUGUUUCUUUCCUUGGGUCCAGCCCAGCCCCUUUUCCUGCUCCCCCCAUUACCGUGUGUUUAUAAAUAAACCUAGAGUUUGACGGUA
Long non-coding RNA from Oncorhynchus masou masou (cherry salmon), 1280 nucleotides. RefSeq lists it as uncharacterized. The record is from RefSeq and is a predicted model, not a curated record. Lineage: Eukaryota; Metazoa; Chordata; Actinopteri; Salmoniformes; Salmonidae. The transcript is spliced from 2 exons.